Molecule: long non-coding RNA, 553 nt
Filed under: Homo sapiens (human)
Lineage: Eukaryota; Metazoa; Chordata; Mammalia; Primates; Hominidae
Description: HSALNT0319636
Source: RNAcentral
AUUCUGGAAUUACAGCUUCCUAGUGUGUCUGAGGAAAUCCAAUCUCUCCCACUCCAGCCCGCCUACUCAUUGAACAUGGCUGCUAUCUCUGUCUUCUGGAAACACGGCUCCAAUCCUGCAACAACUCUAUACAAGAGCUCCCAGUGAAAGCUUUCACUAGACCUUGAUGGCACUAUGGUCAUUAUCUUGUCAAAACUGUGGUGGAUUUGAAGAGCUAGUGAUGAAGAAUGGAGGUUUCCUGUCCUAGAAAUAACCAAAGGCCCAGGCUUGGAGGUGGCAGAAAAAGUGGCACUUAAGGUUAAAUUUCCUGGAUAAAAUCAGAUCAGCCGUGUAAUCACCCUGCUACAAUAAAAGGAGCUCAGUGUGCUUUAUGGCAACCACACCAGUCAAGGGCUCUCUCUGGCACCAAGGGAGCCAUAAGGGCCCCCUGCCAAGUGGAGCUGAGGGAUGCUCGAGGCCAGGGUCUGGACCUUCUCACUAUAAAAAGAAUAGUGAAGUAUACAGAUAUUUACCUACUGAGUUAUGUUUGGGCUGAUAAAAAUGCUCAGAUGUC